Molecule: ribosomal RNA, 5735 nt
Filed under: Triticum aestivum (bread wheat)
Lineage: Eukaryota; Viridiplantae; Streptophyta; Magnoliopsida; Poales; Poaceae
Description: partial small subunit ribosomal RNA
Source: RNAcentral
GACUCGAACCUCUCUGAGCUGUCCCUCCACCCCGCCUCGCCUCCUCUCGGCCCUCCUCGCCGCGCCGCGCCGCGGAUCUCCUCAUGGCGUCCUCCUCCUCCGCCGCGGCGUCCGCGGCCGCGCUCGAGGCCGUGCAGGUCCUCGUCGCCUCCCUCGCCGACGACUCCCCGCGCGCCCGCGACUCCGCCCUCGCCGCGCUCCGCGAGAUCGCGCCGCUGAACCCGCUGCUCGUCCUCGACUGCUGCGCCACCGUCUCCCGGGGCGGCCACCGGCGCUUUGGCAACAUGGCCGGGGUUUUCCUCGUCAUGGCCUCCGCCGUCAGGGCUCUCGAUCGCUUGGAUGCUGAGCGCGAGUUCCUCCGGAAAAUCGCCAAGAUUGCCACCGCAGAGAUUGUUAGCUCAAAGGAUUUCAAUGUUGAUUGGCAAAGAGCGGCAGCUACUCUUCUUGUUGCCAUUGGGUCACAUGACCCAGAUUUGAUGAUGGAGGAGAUAUUUCUUUACUUCUCUGGACCAACUUCUGCUUUGCCAGCCAUGUUACAGAUACUUGCAGACUUUGCAUCUGCUGAAGCCCUGCAGUUCACUCCACGAUUGAAGGAUGUACUUUUGCGUGUUUUACCUAUCCUAGGAAGUGUACGAGAUGGCCAACGACCUGUUUUUGCAAAUGCAUUAAAGUGUUGGUGCCAGGCUGCAUGGGUGUAUAUAGGAGACGCCUCUUCAGGGCUUCCUUUUGAUGACGAUGUUAUGUCCUUCAUGAAUUCAGUAUUUGAAUUACUUCUAAAAGUGUGGACGGGCUCCCGUGAUCUGAAGGUCCGUUUGUCUUCUGUGGAGGCUUUGGGAGAAAUGGUUGGCCUGGUCACUAGGUCACAGUUAAAAUCAGCUCUGCCAAGGAUUAUACCAACAAUGUUGGACCUAUGUAAGAAAGAUCAAGAAGUGGCUUUUACCGCGGCUCACAGUCUUCAUAACCUUCUUAAUGCAUCAUUACUGUCAGAAAGUGGCCCCCCUUUACUUGAGUUUGAGGAGCUAGCUGUUGUCUUAAUUACUCUUCUUCCUUUAGUAUCUGUCAACAUCAGCAAAGAUGAACGCUCAUAUAUUUCAAAGGGAUUGAAGACAUACAAUGAACUCCAGCACUGUUUCUUGGUAACUGGAUUAGCAUAUCCUGAGGAUCUGUGCAUGUUCCUCCUGAGUAAAUGUAGGUCAAAAGAUGAAGCAUCAAUUGUUGGGGCACUUGGAACAAUAAAACAUCUAUUGCCCAGGUUGUUGGAAUCAUGGCAUACUAAGCAAACAUUGUUGGUUGAAAUAGUCAAAUCACUUCUAGAGGAGCAGAGCUUGGGUAUUCGAAUGGCACUAGCUGAGCUAAUUGUCGUUAUGGCUUCACAUUGCUACUUGAGUGGGCAUUCUGCUGAGCUCGCGGUUGAGUUUUUGGUGGGGCAUAGUGCUAUAACCGACGAUGAUCUAAAUGAUAUCAACACUCUGAAAAAUGAGUACUUCCAGGACAAAAGAUUUGAGAUGAAAAUAAGUCUUGCUGGUCUAUCUGAACUAAGAGCUGUAUGUGAAAAGGGUCUACUUUUACUAGCAAUUACCAUUCCUGAAAUGGAGCUUGUUCUAUGGCCAUUUCUCUUGCAGCUGAUUAUCCCAAAGAAGUAUACAGGUGCAGUAGCUACGGUCUGCAAAUGCAUAACUGAAUUGUGUAGGCAUAAAUUGUCGCAGACAAAUCCACUAUAUACUGAGUUUAAUGCCUCAAACGAAAUGCCCAGUCCUGAGGAUCUGUUUGCUCGUUUGCUGGUGCUUCUGCAUAAUCCACUUGCUAGGGGGCAACUCGCUACCCAGAUCCUGACGGUGCUGUGCUACUUGGGUCAACUUUUCCCAAGAAACCUUUCUUUAUUUUGGGAAGAUGAGGUCCCUAAGAUGAAAGCUUACAUCAGUGAUCCUGAAGAUCUUAAGCAAGAUAGCACCUACCAGGAAAUAUGGGAUAACAUGAUAAUCAAUUUUUUAGCUGAAUCCUUGGAUGUUGUGAAUGAUAAUGUGUGGGUCAUAUCCUUGGGCGAUGCAUUUGCUAGACAAUAUGAUCUCUAUGCUACAUCUGAUGGGCAUUCAGCUUUGUUGCACAGAUGUUUAGGAAUGCUUCUUCAGAAGGUUGAUGAUAGGAUUUAUGUCCGUGAAAAGAUUGAUUUGAUGUGUAGACAUUCAAGUAUGUCUAUUCCUGUUAAUCGCCUUGGACUUGCCCAAGGCAUUGGUUUGGUUGCAGCUUCUCAUUUGGACACAGUUUUGGAGAAGCUGAAGAACAUACUAGAAAAUGCAGGGCAAAGUGCUCUCCAGAGGUUCCUCUCAUUUUUCUCGUUUAGAGAAAAAGUGGAGGAUGUUGAUGAUACAUACGCAGCUCUGGCUUUGAUGUAUGGUUAUGCUGCAAGAUAUGCCCCAUCAACAGUAAUUGAAGCCAGAAUCAACGCACUUGUGGGGACUGAUAUGCUUGGAAGAUUCCUUCAUGUUCAACAUCCUACUGCAAAGCAAGCUGUCAUUACUGCAAUUGACCUUUUAGGCCGGGCUGUUAUUAGUGCUGCUGAAAUAGGAAUUUCGUUCCCACUGCAACGAAGAGAUCAAUUGCUGGAGUAUGUGCUAACUCUAAUGGGAAGGGAUCAAAGUGAUGAUCUCGUUGAUUUCAGCAUUGAGCUUCUGCAAACACAAACUGUUGCUUUGAGUGCUUGUACUACUCUGGUUUCAAUAGAGCCAAGGUUACCUAUGGAAACAAGAAAUCGUGUCAUGAAGGCAACCUUAGGUUUUUUUGCUUUGCCAACUGAGCCCUCAAACAUUGUUGAGAGCCUGAUAACAAACCUCAUUAUUCUGUUAGGUGCCAUUCUGCUAACUAGCGGUGAAGAUGGCCGAAGCAGAGCAGAGCAGCUGUUGCAUAUUCUUAGACAACUCGAUCCAUAUGUUUCAGCAUCUGCAGAACACCAGAGAAGAAGGGGAUGUGUUGCUGUACAUGAGGUGUUAGUAAAGUUUCGCAAUCUUUGUUCUGGUGGAUUUGGUGCAUCGGGCUCCUAUCCAACUUUGAGCCUAAAGCACAUUGAUCAGGGAGGGCCUAGGGGCUCGUCAAGUUUGCCAUCUGCAUUUGUGUUGCCGAAUCGAGAUUCAUUAAGCUUGGGCGAGAGAAUAAUGGCAUAUCUACCUCGCUGUGCUGAUACAGAUGAUGAAGUUAGGAAAGUUGCGAUUCAGAUCAUUGCACUUUUCUUCAAUAUAUCACUGUCACUUCCAAAACAGAAGACAUCUGCUAAUGACAUCGAUCUAGAAUCUUCAUACGGUGCUUUGUCCUCCCUAGAGGACAUAGUCUCCAUCAUCAGAAGGGCAUCUGUUGAUCAGAUCGAAGUAUUUCAUAGAGUUGUCUCCUCUGUGUGUAUUCUACUAUCUAAGGACGAGCUGGUUGUCUUGCUACACUCUUGCACGUUAGCGGCAUGUGAUAAAGUGAAGCAAUCAGCAGAUGGUUCCAUUCAAGCUAUUAUAGUAUUUAUUAUCAGAAGAGGCAAGGAUCUACGUGAAGCUGAUGUACUGAGGACAACACAAUCUCUGCUCUCAUCAGCUAUUGCUCUUACCGACAAGCAUUCACGCCAAGAAGUUCUCAAUGCAAUAUCAUGCUUAGCAGAAAAUACCAACCACAUUGUGGUCUUUGAUGAAGUUCUAUUUGUGGCUGGGCGAGAUAUUUGUACGAAGGACAUAACAAGAAUUCGUGGCGGUUGGGCUAUACAAGAUGUUUUUUAUGUUUUCUCCCAGCAUAAGGUGCUGGCUACUCUUUUUUUGGAGUACAUUUUAUCUAUACUUCACAAAGAACCUGUUGCAACAAAUGAUUCAGAAAAAGGGGAAAUUAACUCAGAGUCAUCAGCUGAUGACUGUAUUCUACAAGCAACUAUGUUCGCUCUCAAUGCGUUCCUGAGAGGUGGUGGGAAGGUCGGGAAACAAGCAGUUGAGCAAAGCUACCCUUCUGUCCUUUCUGCACUUAUACUGAAGCUGGGAGGUCUUCACGGUCUUGCUGAAUUAGGCCGCAAUGAGCUUCUACGAUCGUUGUUAAUUGCAUUCCAGUCAUUCUGUGAUUGUGUUGGCGAUGUCGAGAUGGGAAAGAUAUUAGCUCGAGAUGGCGAACGAACUGAGAAGGAGAAGUGGAUUGAUCUUGUGCAAGAGGUUGCAUGCAGUUCCUCAGUAAAGAGGCCCAAUGAGAGGGCUGAAAGGGAGGCUGCUGCUGCUGCACUAUCAGAAUUUAUUCGCCACAGUGAAAAAGAACCUGCAUUGCUUGAACAAAUGGUUGAGGAAUUGUGUCAACAUGUAACCGACGACUCACCGACUGUCAGGAGUCUCUGCUUGCGAGGACUUGUACAGAUACCCGAGAGCCACAUACUUAAUUACAUCCAGCAAGUCCUAGGAGUAAUAUUAGCAUUACUUGAAGAUGCCACCGAAUCUGUUCAACUCACUGCUGUCCAGUGCCUGUUAACCGUUCUUAAUGUGUCAGAACAAGAUGCAGUGGAUCCCAUUUUAAUAAGUCUCUUAGUAAGGCUAAGGAAUCUCCAGAUCUCCAUGAAUACAAAAAUGAGGUCCAAUGCCUUUGCAGCUUAUGGUGCUCUAAGUGCCUAUGGUGCUGGUUCACAGCAUCAUGCUUUUCUUGAGCAGAUACAUGCCACUCUUCCGCGUUUGAUCCUCCAUCUUCAUGAUAAUGACCUUAGCGUUCGCCUUGCCUGUCGGAACACAUUCCAGCUCCUAGCGCCUUUGAUGGAAGUAGAUGGCUUGUCUUCACUCCUCAACAAGCAAUAUUUCACAUCUGAUCGGCGAUCUGAUUACGAGGACUUCAUUAGGGACUUAACAAGACAACUUUGUCGACUAUCUCCCGUCAGAGUUGACAGCUACCUAGAAUCUGCUAUCCAGGCAUUUGAUGCACCUUGGCCGGUCAUUCAAGCAAAUGCAGUUUGCUUGGUUAGUUGCAUGCUAUCCUUUUUGGAUGAUCAACGCUUCCUUGCUCCUUACUUCUCACAGGUGUUCGCUAUGUUGGUUGGCAGAAUGAGCCAAUCACCAGAGGCCGUUGUUCGAGCAGCAGCAUCUUCUGCAUUGGGCCUCCUGAUAAAGAGGUCUAACAUGCUCAAGUCAUUGAGUUCACGGUUUGAUCGAACAGAUCCAUCACAGAGUUCUCAACAUGGAGAGCCUCAUGCUAAAACAUCGUCUGAGCUUCAAGAAGAGGCUGCAGCAAAGCCAAAUGGCGCGCAAGGAGAGCAAUAGAAGCAAUUGAAGCCGAUCUCUCUCGGAAGUAAAUCUGUUGUACAUGUACAGAGUUCAAUGUUCAUGCUGCCUGCCUGUACAUUUUGUGCCUCCUUCAACAAUAGAGCAUAGAGAGAUAAUUCUGUAGCCAUGUCCAUAGGUUUUUAGUGCGACUGUACAGCAUACUGCCGUGGCAGAAUUCGCUGUGUUCUGUAAGCAUGUAUUAUAACGAAGAUACGCCAUUGCUAAGAAGGAACCGUCUAAUUCCUGGAGUGUGUAUAUAGGUUUUUAGUGUAAGCAUGUAAGAAUUCCUUAUCUGAAUGAAUUCCCUGGGGAAAUGUGGGAGCUAGUUUUUUUUCCCCAGAAUUCUUCAGUGCUGCAAGUUCACUUUAUUCCUCAAAAAAAAAAGUUCACUGUUAAGCUUGAUGCAUUUUUAAGCUUUAUCAGUCGGUAGGUAGCUCGGAUCUUCUACUCCAUUCGUAGCUAGCUAAACUGUUACUAUUUCCG